CCAAGAUGGCGCCGACGUCCCGCCUGCGACGCUGACCUCACCAAGGUGGCUCCGGGGGCGGUUCCCGCCGCCCCUCCCCUCUCGCAUGCGCAGAGCGCUCAGGCCUGGCCGCAGGGAGGGGCGCAGGGGACAGAGCCACUCUGAAGGCUGCCCGGGGGGCGUCUGGGCGCCGGAGGUGGGAGCUGAACUGCUUUGCCCCAGCCCAGCUGCAGAUCUGCACUCAGCCUCAGCCCCAAGCCCUGGCAGGGUGGGAUGCUUUGGUACCAGGCCGUGGAGCUGUUUGAAAUGCAAUUGCUGCUUGCAGCUGGUUCAGAAAUGGAUUUCCUGUGGCUGUGGGGGCAGAAAUGUCUCUGUGGUGAGUUGGUGCCAAGUGCCAGCCUUGCUUAAAGCCUUCUCUUAGGCCUUUCA
Molecule: long non-coding RNA, 408 nt
Organism: Pogoniulus pusillus (Red-fronted tinkerbird)
Lineage: Eukaryota; Metazoa; Chordata; Aves; Piciformes; Lybiidae
Exons: 2
Source: RefSeq, a predicted model, not a curated record